GGCAAGGAGCCGCCGGCCCUUGGAGCAGCUCCUCAGCAACUGUUGCUUUUCCUUGCCAGAGAAUCUCGCCCGAAGAAGCCGCUUUGAUCAAUGCACUUGGAUUCCAGCCUUCAGCCUUGAUCAAGGCGGGAGGAGGGACGAGGGAGAGCGAGCACUCGCGGGCUCUUUGGGGACGGCCGGGAAGCGAGGCUGCCGCUCCAAGGAAAGCUGCUUCAAAGUAAGAGGCGGUGCUGCCAGAAUAAGAGUGAAGCGGGCGGGCAGAGGAGGAGGAGGAGGAAGGCUGCUGGGUGCCAGCACUCCAGCUGGGAUGGGGCAGGUCACCAUCCUCUUGGCAAGAGAGGCAGGAGCAAUGUGGUGGGGCCAGGGGAUGUUGGACAGAACUGAUCUUUAAACCAGGCUGUCCCACAGUCAGCCUGGCUCUGGGAUUGAGACCCACACUGUGCUGCAGGCAC
RNAcentral lists this long non-coding RNA (452 nucleotides) under Junco hyemalis (dark-eyed junco). RNAcentral's name for it is "lncRNA (ENSJHYG00000015323.1)". Lineage: Eukaryota; Metazoa; Chordata; Aves; Passeriformes; Passerellidae. The record is from RNAcentral.